CCCUUAGAUGUCCUGGGCCGCACGCGCGUUACACUGAUGCAUUCAACGAGCUUAUAACCUUGGCCGAGAGGCCUGGGCAAUCUUGUUAACGUGCAUCGUGAUAGGGAUAGAUUAUUGAAAUUAUUAAUCUUGAACGAGGAAUUCCUAGUAAACGCAGAUCAUCAAUCUGCAUUGAUUACGUCCCUGCCCUUUGUACACACCGCCCGUCGCACCUACCGAUUGAGUGGUCCGGUGAGGCUUUGGGAUCUGAGCAAAAAGAGCGUUUCGCUCGUUUGGCUCGGAAAACUCAGUCGAACCUUAUCAUUUAGAGGAAGGAGAAGUCGUAACA
RNAcentral lists this ribosomal RNA (328 nucleotides) under uncultured eukaryote. RNAcentral describes it as "partial 18S ribosomal RNA". It matches the Rfam family "Eukaryotic small subunit ribosomal RNA", at positions 1470 to 1796 of the family's 1831-position model. The record is from RNAcentral.